Molecule: long non-coding RNA, 435 nt
Organism: Ictidomys tridecemlineatus (thirteen-lined ground squirrel)
Lineage: Eukaryota; Metazoa; Chordata; Mammalia; Rodentia; Sciuridae
Source: RefSeq, a predicted model, not a curated record
GGGACGUCGGCCUGGAGGAGCCCCUGCCCCGCAGCCGCUGCCCCGGCACCAUGCAACUCCAGUUCCAGCUCCAGCUCGGCGGCUCUGAAAUGGUCUUGCUGAGAUUGCUUUUCAUCUGAGCUUCGGGUGUUCCAAGGUGAGACCUCUGAGGCCAGGGGACCCUCGCCAGCGGCGGAGCCAACCGAAGCUGCAGCCUCGGAACAACAAAUUCCGGGGGUGAGAGGCCACCAAACCUUCAAGAGGAAAUAUGAGCCAAGGGCGGAACCUUGUGUGGGCUCUCCCUGUCCGGGAGCUGAGGGAAUGGGAGGAUCUCGCCUUGCAGACUUUCCAAAAUCCCUUCUCCUCCUCCUUUCGAGAUAUGAGGUUUCUAGGUCUAUCCCAGAAAAGCAUCUUUUACUCCAUAAAUUCUUGUUGAAACUCCUGUGUAAGCUUUCA